Molecule: long non-coding RNA, 366 nt
Filed under: Homo sapiens (human)
Lineage: Eukaryota; Metazoa; Chordata; Mammalia; Primates; Hominidae
Description: HSALNT0047272
Source: RNAcentral
AUUCUAAGACCAAUAGGGGAGGUAGCCCUGUAUCAAAGUAUAUAACAGCGGAGGCAAGAGGGUUGGGAGUUCAAGCCCAACCUGGGCAACAUAGUGAGACCUUGUCUUCAAAAAAGAAGUAUGUGAUAUUUAGGUAACAGUUGGCACAGGGAACAGGGAUGGGAGGCCCAGGCACGGUGUGAUCAGAUCCACUUGGAGAAUUGAAAGAUGAUGACCUGAGCUGAGGGUUCAGGAAGCUCGGCUGGCAUUGGCCAGCUUGAGUUGUUGGGGGCGAUGUUCUGGGCAAGGGAACAGCUUGAACAAAGGCCUAGAGGUGUGGACAACUUGGCUUAGUCCAGAAGCCACAGCCCCAGCACUUAAAGGCCU